Molecule: small RNA, 39 nt
Filed under: Arabidopsis thaliana (thale cress)
Lineage: Eukaryota; Viridiplantae; Streptophyta; Magnoliopsida; Brassicales; Brassicaceae
Description: ATSL165680
Source: RNAcentral
GCUGAGCUUCCUGCAGCCGUUCUUCUAAGGCUUUAAAGG